UACAGAGGUCCCAAGCGUUGUUCGGAUUCACUGGGCGUAAAGGGUGCGUAGGUGGCGGGGCAAGUCGGAUGUGAAAUCUCGGAGCUUAACUCCGAAACUGCAUUGGAAACUGCCUUGCUAGAGGGUUGGAGGGGGGACUGGAAUACUUGGUGUAGCAGUGAAAUGCGUAGAUAUCAAGUGGAACACCAGUGGCGAAGGCGAGUCCCUGGACAACAUCUGACACUGAGGCACGAAAGCUAGGGGAGCAAACAGG
This 253-nucleotide ribosomal RNA is filed under the name uncultured bacterium. RNAcentral describes it as "partial 16S ribosomal RNA". It matches the Rfam family "Bacterial small subunit ribosomal RNA", at positions 524 to 776 of the family's 1533-position model. The record is from RNAcentral.